ACCACACUGAGUGAUGAGUAAUGAUAAUGGUAAGCAAAAAUAAGAAAAAUGAAUUCCCUGCCAUCAGGGCCCAGGUAUGUUGGUAAUGGAAAGACAAAAAUUAAUGCAAAAUUAUAACUAUAUAAGUGCCUUAAUGGUGAGGCAUGUGGAAAUCAGAGAGAGAACUGACUGGGUCAGGAAGGUUCAAAUAGAAUCCCUGAAGGAAGGAAAGAUGAGAAUGGCCAAACGAAGUCUCUGCAUUAAGACUCCACACUCCUGGCUGGAAGUGUGUGGGUUAGGCAGCCCAAGCUGCCGUAACACGGAGGCUCACAGCCACAGAAGUCAAGGGAGGACACUGUUUCCAUCUCAGUCAAGAGCAAGGCUGGAACUUUGUCCCGUGGCCCACAGGAACUGAGAUCCGGGAUCCAAGCUCCACCCUUACUCCUUUGCAGAGAUCUGGAACUAUGGAGAUUGGCUAAUUGAUCUUCUUGACAAGGGUUAAGAAACAACAUCACGACUGCCAACAAUAAUUGAGGAGUUCGCUAGUCCCUGCAGGGAAAGGCAAGAUCCUGCCCCCAAGAAAGUGAUCUGUAUAGUUACAUGGAAACAGAUGCAUGUCCACCCCAAUCCAUCGCAGCGCGGUGAGGAAGUUCAGGUACAGGCCUGGGGGUCAAGAUGGCCGGCGUUUGAAUUGUCAUGACACUUACUGGCUAUGUAGCACUGGGCAAGUGCUUAUUCUGCCUGAGCCUCAGUUUUCUCUUCUA
This is a long non-coding RNA of Suricata suricatta (meerkat), 743 nucleotides long. RefSeq lists it as uncharacterized. NCBI's taxonomy places the organism in Eukaryota, Metazoa, Chordata, Mammalia, Carnivora, Herpestidae. The transcript has 3 exons. The record is from RefSeq and is a predicted model, not a curated record.